CCUACGGGUGGCAGCAGUGGGGAAUUUUGGACAAUGGGCGAAAGCCUGAUCCAGCCAUGCCGCGUGUGUGAAGAAGGCCUUCGGGUUGUAAAGCACUUUCAGCGGGGAAGAAAGCCUUCUGGCUAAUACCCUCGAUGGAGGACAUUACCCACAGAAUAAGCACCGGCUAACUCCGUGCCAGCAGCCGCGGUAAUACGGAGGGUGCGAGCGUUAAUCGGAAUUACUGGGCGUAAAGCGCGCGUAGGCGGUCUGAUAAGCCGGUUGUGAAAGCCCCGGGCUCAACCUGGGAACGGCAUCCGGAACUGUCAGGCUAGAGUGUAGGAGAGGGAGGUAGAAUUCCCGGUGUAGCGGUGAAAUGCGUAGAGAUCGGGAGGAAUACCAGUGGCGAAGGCAGCCCUCUGGAAUGACACUGACGCUCAUGUGCGAAAGCGUGGGUAGCAAACAGGAUUAGAUACCCUAGUAGUC
Molecule: ribosomal RNA, 465 nt
Filed under: Vreelandella stevensii
Lineage: Bacteria; Pseudomonadati; Pseudomonadota; Gammaproteobacteria; Oceanospirillales; Halomonadaceae
Description: partial 16S ribosomal RNA
Rfam family: Bacterial small subunit ribosomal RNA
Source: RNAcentral